This 468-nucleotide long non-coding RNA is filed under the name Bos taurus (domestic cattle). Its description in RNAcentral is "long non-coding RNA NONBTAT011613". The record is from RNAcentral. Lineage: Eukaryota; Metazoa; Chordata; Mammalia; Artiodactyla; Bovidae.
GUGUCUCAACCAAUUCAGUCUUUAUAAAGAAGCACAUGUUGGGUUUCAAUCAUAUUUACUAUUUAAAUAAAAGCUGACAUUGAUUUAAAGCAUGUAAUUUAAAUAGCACUAUAGUUUUUGUUCAUCAUGCACUUUCCUUAAUUUAGCUCACAGCUUCCUUACACAGCUCUGCAGUCUGAUGUGAGGCAAUCUUGCUUCACAGUUAAUAUCACUGGAAGAACAAUUUUUUUCCCCUACUUCUCCUGCUACUAGUUGUCCAACUUCUUUUUCCUCACUUUACUGUUUGUUGUUUAGUGUUGCUUUCCACUGCUGAAAUUAUAAAAGUCAGAUCGGCAGUCAACUCCUUCAUUUCACUGAAAAAGAAGUUUGGUUUGCAGUCAGAGAUCCAUCAAGAAAAAUAAGCCACUCCAUGUAUUCGAGUCACACAAGUUUAUGUUUGGAUACAAAAUUAGAAAAACGUUAAAAAUU